This 226-nucleotide long non-coding RNA is filed under the name Ursus maritimus (polar bear). Its description in RNAcentral is "lncRNA (ENSUMAG00000019487.1)". The record is from RNAcentral. Lineage: Eukaryota; Metazoa; Chordata; Mammalia; Carnivora; Ursidae.
UGCACAUCCCCGAAUUCACGCAGCUUCCUUUUUUUUCUUGCUUUUCGUGCAUGUUUCUUCUAGGGACUUCUGGGAUUCAUUGGUCUGGUCGGGGAGCCAGGGAUUGUGGGAGAAAAGGGUGAUCGGGGCAUGAUGGGACCCCCAGGCGCACCCGGACCCAAGGGAUCAAUGGGUCAUCCUGGAACUCCCGGUGCCGUUGGGACCCCCGGAGAGCCCGGACCCCCGG